GAGACAAACCUUACUUGACUUGAGAUACUCUAGUUUUUCAUACUUUUUACCCUUCCACCCUUAUAAGCCACCUUCGACGACAUAGUGUGUUUUACAGUCAGAAUCUUGAGCUUACUCAGCUUUCUCAAUCCUAAGUGUCACCCUUAAUUUCGAGUCACCUCUCACUUGUUAUCUUCAUCCGACCAGAUUUCAGAUCUCGAAUUUCAAGCUUAAACUGCUAUGAAAGUCAUUUUCAAUUUCAUCAAUUUAAUGACACGUACUACGUGAGCUCAAUUUGAAGAUGUUUUAACUCAAGGCCUUCAGGUUCACAUUAAGAUGUCAGCAUGAUUCAGUACACUGGCAAUCCCAUUAAAGUAACUGCCAUUUUAGUCGUCACUAGAAUUUUAGUCCUCGGCAUUUUGACGUAUUGACAGAGUGGGCAGUACUUUCAGUGUAUUAGGUGGCUCAAGUUGCAUUUUUUGAGAAAGUGUCAUUUAGGACCAUGUCCGAAAUCGCACUUCAAUGAGAUUCCCAGUGCAUUUUGAUAUAUAAUUCCUUAUAUAUUUAUAUAAACAGAAAUUGUAAACAAAUAUGGGAUGAAAUAAAGAAAAAGGAAGG
Molecule: long non-coding RNA, 597 nt
Organism: Belonocnema kinseyi
Lineage: Eukaryota; Metazoa; Arthropoda; Insecta; Hymenoptera; Cynipidae
Exons: 3
Source: RefSeq, a predicted model, not a curated record